CAAGAGCGUAUGUAAAAGUUGUUGCAGUUAAAAAGCUCGUAGUUGAACCUUGGGUUUGGUUGGCCGGUCCGCUUUUUUGCGAGUACUGGAUUCAACCGAGCCUUUCCUUCUGGCUAACCAGUCGUUUCGGCGGCUGGCGAACCAGGAUUUUUACUUUGAGAAAAUUAGAGUGUUCAAAGCAGGCAUUAGCUUGAAUAUAUUAGCAUGGAAUAAUAGAAUAGGACGUUAUGGUUCUAUUUUGUUGGUUUCUAGGACCAUCGUAAUGAUUAAUAGGGACGGUCGGGGGCAUCAGUAUUCAGUUGUCAGAGAUGAAAUUCUUGGAUUUACUGAAGACUAACUACUGCGAAAGCAUUUGCCAAGGACGUUUUCAUUAA
This 374-nucleotide ribosomal RNA is filed under the name uncultured eukaryote. RNAcentral describes it as "partial 18S ribosomal RNA". It matches the Rfam family "Eukaryotic small subunit ribosomal RNA", at positions 592 to 976 of the family's 1831-position model. The record is from RNAcentral.